GAAUACCAGCUGAUGUCAGUCCGCCAGCCAAAACCAGGGAGGAGAAGCGGGAGCCAGCCCUCUGGAGUCGGGAGAAGGUCUGGGGAGUGGGGUAGAGGGGAAAGCAAAGUCCAAAUACCUUCCCUUCAGACACCUCCUGGGGCCUAGACCCCACAAACCUGUUGUGGGGAGGGCAAAAUACGAUGACUACGUUCCCAGGAAGAAGGUGCCACAGCUCUUCAGGACCACGGUUGGGAGAAAGAAUGGAGGGGUUUUAGAACCUUCAGUGUGCGACUUCAUGUGCCAGCUAUAGAGCCUUGAAUGACACGUUUACCUUCAGGACUUCUCAUGUGAAAUAGGGACAUUCCCCUCCUCACUGUAUGAUGGCAGCUGUGAAAGGGCACUGCACUCGCUAAAUGCUAGUUUCCUUUCCUCUUUUCCUAAGUGACUUAUCUAAGGUCACACUGUUAAGGAAGCAGCAAGGCUGAGUCUGGGCCUCCGGGGGUCCUGACUUCAGCCACACCACAGCUGCUUCUUGUGUCCUGGGCCAGAGGUUCAUUAGUCUGAAGCAGCUGAGGAGCCCAGGAGCUGGUUUGGCCAUGACGUUCAAGUCCCAGACACAGCUGUCAGCACCAAACUUUCCUAAAUUACUCCCAGACACUGACCCUUGGACUCAGCUGCUGCUGUUGUCCCAGUUUACUGAUUCCUGCCCACCACAAAUUAUCUGUCCUGAUCUCUCCUGAAGUCUUCAUCUCAGGAUCUCAAGCUCUUGGAUCAUGGGCACGGAUAACCUGUUGUCCUCCUCUAUGGUCAAGAGGCUGCUUUUGCAAAGAAUCCAGUGGGAGAGAGUCAAUGGCCUGCUUGACGUGAACUCCAAAGUCCUCCUGGAACAGGGGCUCACUCUGUUGCCCACAUUGGAGUGCGGUGGAAGAAUCAUGGCAUGCUGCAGUCUUGAGCUUCUAGGCUCAAGAGAUCCUCCUGGUUCAGUCUCCCAAGUAGCUAGGACAGCAGGCAUAUUUUUUGUAGAUAUGGGGGUCUUGCUUUUUUGCCGAGGCUGGUCUCGAACUCCUGGCUUCAAGCAAUCUUCCUGCAUCAGUCUCUUAAAGUGUUGGGAUUCCAGGCAUGAACCACUGCACCUGGCCCUUGGGAAGUUUUAUUUUUAGCCUAGGGUUGGGGUUAAGUUUGCAUCAUGAUGUUGAGACCUCCAAAGGAGAACUUAUUGUAGUCAUUCCUGAGCUCAGGUGUCCAAACUGUCUAAUUGGAGAAUCUGGGAAUUUUCUCUCGUUUUGAUUUUCCUCUUCCACUUUUCCAUGCCAGUUGGAUGUUUGAAUGUUUUUAUCGACCUCUGAGAGCAUCCGGGUAACUGAGGGUUUACUUUGGGGGUCUUUGGAGAUGAAUAGGGACAGGAGACCUCACCUUUCUUUUCCAUGUAGCCAUAGGAGAUAGUCCCACGAUCUGAUGAUCUGUAGCAAUGGGUAGAGGAAGGGCCGUAUUAG
Molecule: long non-coding RNA, 1475 nt
Filed under: Homo sapiens (human)
Lineage: Eukaryota; Metazoa; Chordata; Mammalia; Primates; Hominidae
Description: HSALNT0240851
Source: RNAcentral